This 4300-nucleotide long non-coding RNA is filed under the name Nicotiana benthamiana. RNAcentral describes it as "long non-coding RNA (NBEN_LNC041802)". Lineage: Eukaryota; Viridiplantae; Streptophyta; Magnoliopsida; Solanales; Solanaceae. The record is from RNAcentral.
AUGAUUGCAGGUUGGCAUUCGAGGAACUGAAGAAGAGGUUGGUAACUGUACCCAUCAUUGUUGCACCCAACUGGGAGAAGCCAUUUGAGCUCAUGUGUGACGCGAGCGACUAUGCCAUAGGAGUACUCUUGGGGCAGCGAAAGGAUAAGAUGAUGCACCCGAUCUACUACGCAAGAAAAAUACUAAGCUGUGCAUAGCUAACUACACAGUGACGAAAAAGGAGAUGUUAGCAGUGGUGUUUGCUUUUGACAAGUUCCGAUCAUAUCUGAUUGGUUCCAAGGUAAUUGUAUACACUGACCAUGCAACUCUCAGGUACCUAAUUAAGAAGAAGAAGUCUAAGCCGUGCCUGAUUCACUGGGUGUUGCUGUUGCAAGAAGUUGACCUCAAAAUUUGUGACCGUAAGGGCAGAGAAAAUCAAGUCACUAAUCAUCUAUCACGACUUGAAGGAGCUGAAAAAUCAGUCGAGGUUGAAAAGAUUUUGGAAACCUUUCCAGACGAGCAGUUGCUUGCAACUAGUCUUGAGGAUGCGCCAUGGUAUGUAGAUUUUUCAAACUACCUGGCUUGCGGUAUUGUUCCAUAUGACCUUUCAUCUGUCCAAAAGAAAAAGUUCUUUCGUGAUUGCCGCAUGUAUUAUUGGGAUGAACCUCAUUUGUUUAGAAUAUGUGUUGAUAAUUUAUCCGGAGAUGUGUCCCCGAGAUAGAAGAAUCUUCAAUUUUGCAGGCUUGUCAUGCAUUAGCAUACGGAGGAUAUUUUGGAGGGGUCAGGACAGCUGCGAAAGUGCUAGAGACUGGAUUCUUUUGGCCAACUUUGUUUAGAGAUGCACACCUCUAGGUAAAGGGCUGCAAUGAAUGCCAACGGGCCGGAAACAUUUCCCGUCGCCAUGAGAUGCCGAUGAACCCGAUUCAAGAGGUAGAGGUGUUUGAUUUUUGGGGUAUUGACUUUAUGGUUCCAUUUGUCAGCUCAUUUGGUAAUAAGUACAUCCUUGUUGUUGUGGACUACGUGUCUAAAUAGGUAGAGGGUGCAGCAUUGCCCACUAAUGAUGCAAGAGUGGUGGUAGGAUUUCUGAAAAAGAACAUAUUCACCAGGUUUGAGACACCAAGAGCGAUCAUCAGUGAUGAAGGCAGUCUCUUCUGCAAUAGAGCCUUCGAGAAACUACUUGCAAAAUAUGAUGUACGCCACAAGGUAGCCACCCCUUACUAUCCAUAAACCAGUGGGCAAUGUUGAAGUGUCCAACAGGGAAAUAAAAAGUGUACUAACCAAGACGGUGAAUGCCACACGAACUGAUUGGGCAAAGAAGCUUGAUGAUGCACUCUGGGCCAAUAGAACUUCGUUUAAAAUACCAAAAGGUAUGUCCCCAUACAAGUUGGUAUUUGGGAAGGCAUGUCAUCUACCUGUAGAGCUAGAACAUCGAGCGUGGUGGGCACUAAAACAAUUGAACACGGAUCCUGAUGCAGCUGCACAAAAUCAACUUACAGAGUUGCAUGAGCUGGAAGAAUUCAGAUAUCAAGCCUUUGAAAGCAUUGGGCUGGCUGAGAGCUUUGGGGUGCGCAUGCCAUGUGAACCCCAACACUAUCUCCGACCAGGAGUGAGCCUUCAGGGAAGUUCCUUUACCUCACUGCUCUUUCAAUUUUUAAGCCAUGGGGACAUGCCUUCAUUUAUAAGUGUAGGGUGGGGGAUACUUCAUUCCAUGUAUGUAGUUGUAUCAUUUUAAUGUUAGUUUUGUUUUGUUUUAGUUGGCUUGGAUAGUUUUGGUGUUGAGUAUGAGUCAUUAGUUUAAAGUAGAUAAGUGAAUUUUCCCAAUGACAGAUCCCUUUCGGCGGGGUUCUUGAGGGACUAAGUCGAAAAUGAAAAAAAAUUUGGAAAUAUGUGGACUCUUCCUGAUGACGGAUCCUUUAGACAAUUUUCUUGAGGGAAGUUAGUGUAGAGAAAAUACCAAAAAGAUUUUUUUAGGUAGUGUAGUAGCUCCCCCUUGGUUUUUCUUUAUGCCACGGUUCUUUUCCAAGGGUUUAAACUUGAAUCAUGUGUAGGCAAUUUUUUUUAGUAUUUCAUUUUUUAUUGGUAGAUUAGGUUUAAAUGGGCUACGAUCUAGAGAAUCAAAAGAGAACCCAUAGCGUUGACACACCUGAACAAAAUAGAUACUAGUGUGUAACGCUUAGUCUUAGUUGUUGACUCUCACUAAAGUGCUUUAAUUUGUAUGUUUGUCACUGACUUGAAUACUCAUAAGGAGUGUCUCGAUGAGUUAAUCUGGAAUGAGUCAUAUGCCAUGUGUGGUGAGGUUUUGUGUAGUCUAUAUAUUGUACUUGUGUCUAGAACUUGCCUGGAAAAAUAAUGAAGCGGGAGCAUAAGCAAUCGCCAAAUUACCUAGACUUAGCCUAUUAUCAGAAUUUCAGUUCACGGGAUGAUUGCCAUAAGUAUAUUUAUCAGAUUAUUUAAAAAUAAAUUAUAAAUAAUUACAUAAGUUAGUAGAUAAUAUUUUUAUGAAUAUUUUCACGUACUAAGUUAGUAGACAAUGAUAAUUCUGUUCUUUUCACGUUUAUUCCAAAUUUAUGAUUUAGAUACUGUUGGCAAUCUGAUUAUUUAUUUGAUAAAUUUGUGUGGUGAGGUUUUGCAGGUGAUUCUCGGUUUGAAAAAGGAUUUUAGGCUUUCUUUGAUCUUUUUGAGCUUAAUUGCUUACCACAGAUAAAUUAUAUCCCUAGUAAACCCUUUUGAGCCUAUACACUUUUAUUUGGCACCCACAUUACAAGUAUAUACUAUUUCUAUUCAUUGACAUUGUUUUGAUCCCUUUUACCUCUUAAAGCACUUUAAUUUUGAGUUGAGCGAUAAAAGACGUAAGAAGGAACUAAGUGUGGGGUGACUUUUGAGUGGAACCAAUAAAAGGAAGAAAGGUGCACUUGUUUUAUUAAAUAAUUCACCACUAGCGAAAAUUGAAAAGGAAAAAAAUAGACAUGAAUACAGUGUUGUCUUGUUCCUGCUAGUGCAUAUGAAUGAAUGUAGUGCUUAAGUAGAAGGGAGCAUUUUUGGGGUGAUAUUUUUUGUAAAAGUGAAGUGGAUUGAAGAAUUUGCACUUAAAGUUGAUUAGGUGGUGUCUUAAAUAUAUUCUACCCAUCCCUUAGCCCACAUUACAACCAUGAAAAAGACCUAAUUGAUUUUAGAUCGAGCGAGCCUACAUUAGUAGAGAUUUACACUAAGGGAAAGCUUUUGGUACCAAUUGCAUGCAUGUGACUUCUGUUGUGAGUGUGAGAGAUUUUUGUUGAUAUAUGUCAGGGUGAAAUUCGAAUGUGUGAAUUGAUUCUACUUUCUUUGCUGUGAUUGUGAGGGCAUGUGAUUCCUGAAGGAAAGGCAAGUCAUGACUUCUGCGUAGAGUGCUUUGAGAAAGUGUGAAUAUUGCUUGGCAUUUGAGAGUCGACUUUUGAGGCUGAGAUUGUUCACUACUAGGUGUAGCAUAUGUGAAUUGUUCUGGGUGUAAGGCGUUAAGGGAAAUUGUUGAGUGGAACCUCUAGAGAGUAUAGUUUGAUUGCUCGAGGUCGAGCAAUGGGUUAAGCGUGGGAUGUUGAUAAUAGUCAAAAUUGUUGAAUGGAACCUUUAUAGAGUAUAGUUUGAUUGCUCGAGGACGAGAAAUGAAUUAAGCAUGGGGUAUUGAUAAUAAGCUAAGUCUAGGUGAUUUGGCGAUUGCUUAUGCUCCCACUUGAUUAUGUUUCAAUGUCAUACGAUGGCUAAAUGAUGAAAAAUAGGCUCUAAUUGGGAAUUUUACACAUUGCAGGAUGGUGCCUAUAUGAUGCUUUAAAGUUGUGAUUGGAGCAAGAGAUACCCCUCGGAGUUAAGUGCGUGCAAAGACGAGAUAAAGAAUGAAAGAAAAAAAUGACCUGAACUAGUGUGAGCUCUAGCACGUUCAUGCUAGUCCAGAAGAGGGAAGCAGAAUGCCAGGAGACUAGCGCGAACAUUAGCGCGUUCGCGCUAGUCCCAGUCUUGGAAAACGUCUGUUUGGGGAAAAAUAGGAAACUUCAAGGAAAAUUCACUUAACCUAUACAAAGUCAAGCUCGCCCAAGGGUUAAGGAGGAAAAAAUUUUGAGAUUACUUUUGGAAGAAGAAAAAGUGUGAGAGAUCACCCAAAACAUCACAGUUCUUUUUCUUUUCUAUUUUUCUUGAAAUUCUUCCAUUAUGAAUCAUCUAUUAAUUUUAUCUUCCGUUGUUAUGAGUAGCUAAAUACGUUAACCUAAGGAUUUGGUGAAACCCGUUGGGGAUGACUUGGUUGUUAUAUUGAUAUAGUUUUGAAUUAGUUGUUAAUCUCUAUUUGUUCAUC